Esox lucius (northern pike) is the source of this 558-nucleotide long non-coding RNA. The record is from Ensembl. NCBI's taxonomy places the organism in Eukaryota, Metazoa, Chordata, Actinopteri, Esociformes, Esocidae.
CGAGGCUAAAAAGUGGUUCGAGAGAGCUGCAAAGCCACCUGAGCGAAGUAGGCUAUGGAUACGUUCAUUUAGUCAAGUGAAAGUCCGCUGCAGUCUCGUCAACAAAGCUCUAUAAAUCGUUGCUAAUAUUACAAUAGGUGCUGAUCUCUGUACAUAGACCUAUACAGUCCAUAAUAUCAAUAAAUAGUAAAACUCAUAAGACGACCGUAUUUUGAACCAACCGACCACCGCGAAAUAAAUAGUUUACAUUGAUGUCAGGAGGCUCUUUUCCCAAGUGCUAUCCUCGCCUUCAAGAUGGAUGGAAAGGCCAUUGAAGUUCUCGGCGUCCCUGGCAGCCUUCUCGCCCCGGACAGGAUGGUUGACAAGCUCACAAUACACUUCCUGAGACCACGCAAUGGCGGCGGAGAGGUUCUGACAGUGAUGUUCCCCACCAGCAUCUCGGGCCGGGCCGUUGUCGUGUUUGAGAAGCCUGAAGUGGCUGACUCUGUCUUGUGGCAGAGCCAUGAUUUGACAGUGGAAGGACAACGCUUUCCUCUUGAAGUCAGGAGAAUGAACAGA